AAAAAUUAUGCUAAAAUAAGAAUAAGUAAUAGUAUGCUGGCUGUUGAACGUGGUAGAUACAACAAAACAGCUUUAGAAAAUAGAAUAUGUCCUUUAUGCCAUAAAGAGGUUGAAGAUGAAUUUCAUUUUAUCAUAACAUGUUCAGAAAUUAAUAAAACUAGGAUCAAAAUGUUUGAUGAAAUAUCUAGUAUUGUCCCCUGUUGUAAUUCAAUGAGCGAAGAAAACAAAUUUGAAUUUAUAUUUUCC
This 246-nucleotide long non-coding RNA is filed under the name Mytilus galloprovincialis (Mediterranean mussel). The record is from RNAcentral. Lineage: Eukaryota; Metazoa; Mollusca; Bivalvia; Mytilida; Mytilidae.